AUGUAAACUUAGAUGAAAUGUCAAAAUCGCUUCAAUGAGACAUGCUUAUUCAUUAUUUACUUAAUCCUCCCUUCCUGGGGUUAGAGAAAAACAUUGCACAAAAGUAGCAUAGUGUGGGGAGAAAUGUUAAGACUGAGUCGAGACGCUUGUAGAACUCUUGCACUUAUUGAAUUGCUGCAUUCAGUCCACGGAUUGAGAAGAGAUCCCACACUAAAGGUAUUACACGAGGAUGAGGCCAUGAAUGCCAGAAGGCAAGGACCGUUGGAGGUCAUCUUACAACCUACCCACCAAAGCUUUGUCUUCAGUUUGGAGAAGUUUUGAGUUGCUAUUCGCAGCAUACCAAGAACAGUAUCUGCAAUCAGUAACUGCCAUGCAAGUAUUUGUUAAUAAAGGAAAUGGGAAGCCCCUGAAUGAUUUCAUCAGAGAGGAGUGGCACCAUCAGGUUUACAUUCCGAAAAGAUGGCUUUGGCUGCAGUAUGAAGAAUGGGUUGAGGAGCUCAUGAGACAACCAGGUGGGAGGCUCUCGCAGAAGAUGAGGCAGAGAUGAUGGUGGCUCAUGGGCAGGACUGAGAAAUGGCCACAAGGACCCAUGGGUGCUGAUAUUGCAUGCAGAGAUCUUGAGAGCUGUUUUGUGCAUUCUGUGGCUGGGUCUUUGAUCAGUGGAGAAAAUUUUGUGAUGGCAUCUGAAUCCACCUGGAACAUCAGUGCCUGUAUUGGUCACAACUUUUCUGGUGGCAAAUAACAAAAUCCUUCUCUAGGUAUCUUGAGUGCAUCCCCUGUACCUCAGUUAUAGUGGCUUUAGCUUCGUUAAUUCAUUCACCUAUCAAUCUAUCUAUUCACCUAGUAAUCACAUUGUUCACUCCCCUCUAUGCCAGUUACUGCACUGGACACUGGGGAUACAACCAUGAAAAAUCCAGGCACAGAGCCCACCUUUACGGGGGGUAAGAAUCAAGUGGAGAUAAGGAAAUGGGUGACUUCCAACACAAUGACAAGCCCAGGCAGGGUGGGAUGGCAGCCCACUGUACAACUGUCUACUCAAGUUUGGGAGGCUGGUCAAGGAAGGCUUCCAAGAGGAGGUAAUAAUAUAAUAAUAUCUAGGCUGAGACCUGAGCAGAAGAAAGGGUUCACUAGGAAGGGAGAAGGAGGCCUGAGGAGAUUGGCCUGUGCAGUGUGGGGGCUGUGAGAGAAGGAUGAUCUUUUCCAGCUUUCAAGUGGAAAUCAGAAUACGGAUUCCUACAGGAGGUUCCCCGCCCCCUGACAGUUUGUGACAGUAAGGACAGGCCCCUGAGAUGACUCGUCACAUUUCCAAAAGUGGGAUGGAACCUGCAUAAGGCAAGCAGGACAAAGAAACUGCCUAUGUCUCAGGGUUCUGGUGGAAUUUCAUAUGCCCUGGGCCAAAGCUUCUUAUCUUGUGCUAAUCAGAAGUUCCAACUGGCAGUUCCAUGUCUUUGAUUAAUAAAAAUAGGGGUGGUAAUUAAUUACUUAAUAAAUGCAAUUUCCUUUCCUCAAUUUCUGUCCUCAAAUUCAACUAUUUUAUUUUGUCUUACUGUAAGGUUUGUAUACCUGUAAGUGGUCCUAAAAGCCUCAAUGGACACAGGCAUGACAUAAAUAAACA
Long non-coding RNA from Pan troglodytes (chimpanzee), 1615 nucleotides. RefSeq lists it as uncharacterized. Lineage: Eukaryota; Metazoa; Chordata; Mammalia; Primates; Hominidae. The transcript has 3 exons. The record is from RefSeq and is a predicted model, not a curated record.